RNAcentral lists this ribosomal RNA (415 nucleotides) under uncultured prokaryote. RNAcentral's name for it is "bacterial SSU rRNA". It matches the Rfam family "Bacterial small subunit ribosomal RNA", at positions 355 to 774 of the family's 1533-position model. The record is from RNAcentral.
UGGGGAAUAUUGCACAAUGGGGGAAACCCUGACGCAGCAACGCCGCGUGGGUGAUGAAGGCCUUCGGGUCGUAAAGCCCUGUCGGGCGGGAAGAACGUCCCUUCGGGGAAUGACGGUACCGCCAGAGGAAGCACCGGCUAACUCCGUGCCAGCAGCCGCGGUAAUACGGAGGGUGCAAGCGUUAUUCGGAAUUACUGGGCGUAAAGGGCGUGCAGGCGGGAGAGCAAGUCUGAUGUGAAAGCCCGGGGCUUAACCCCGGAAGGGCAUUGGAAACUGCUUUUCUUGAGUUCUGGAGAGGAAGGGAGAAUUCCCGGUGUAGAGGUGAAAUUCGUAGAGAUUGGGAGGAACAUCAGUGGCGAAGGCGCCCUUCUGGACAGCAACUGACGCUGAGACGCGAAAGCGUGGGGAGCAAACA